UGGAAGUGUCUGAAUAUUUCGUUGAAAUUCUAGAGUUUUUAGGAUAAAUUUAACAGUUUCUUACAUAUGUUUAAUGUCAAUGGCAGAUUCCUCAGUAGUAAAAAGAAACAUUCUCUCAUACUCGCUGUUCCGUUCGUUUACGCUCGCUGGUCCAUAUGGAAGACCGAUCUACCAGAUUGAUAUAGACUGUAUAUGUAUUUAUCCACAGAAGCAAGAUUUUAGUGAUUUUUUUACUUCUUUUAUUGAUUUUUUCUUCUUUUCAUUUGAC
This 268-nucleotide unclassified non-coding RNA is filed under the name Bombus terrestris (buff-tailed bumblebee). RNAcentral describes it as "misc RNA ENSBTSG00005021387.1". Lineage: Eukaryota; Metazoa; Arthropoda; Insecta; Hymenoptera; Apidae. The record is from RNAcentral.